UGCCUUACACGUGCAAGUCGAACGGCAGCACGGAGCUUGGCUCGGGGGCGAGUGGCGAACGGGUGAGUAAUAUAUCGGAACGUACCCUAGAGUGGGGGAUAACGUAGCGAAAGUUACGCUAAUACCGCAUACGAUCUAAGGAUGAAAGUGGGGGAUCGCAAGACCUCAUGCUCGUGGAGCGGCCGAUAUCUGAUUAGCUAGUUGGUAGGGUAAAAGCCUACCAAGGCAUCGAUCAGUAGCUGGUCUGAGAGGACGACCAGCCACAUUGGAACUGAGACACGGUCCAGACUCCUACGGGAGGCAGCAGUGGGGAAUUUUGGACAAUGGGCGAAAGCCUGAUCCAGCAAUGCCGCGUGAGUGAAGAAGGCCUUCGGGUUGUAAAGCUCUUUUGUCAGGGAAGAAACGGUGAGAGCUAAUAUCUCUUGCUAAUGACGGUACCUGAAGAAUAAGCACCGGCUAACUACGUGCCAGCAGCCGCGGUAAUACGUAGGGUGCAAGCGUUAAUCGGAAUUACUGGGCGUAAAGCGUGCGCAGGCGGUUUUGUAAGUCUGAUGUGAAAUCCCCGGGCUCAACCUGGGAAUUGCAUUGGAGACUGCAAGGCUAGAAUCUG
Molecule: ribosomal RNA, 610 nt
Filed under: uncultured bacterium
Lineage: Bacteria
Description: bacterial SSU rRNA
Rfam family: Bacterial small subunit ribosomal RNA
Source: RNAcentral